UUUCCGUAGGUGAACCUGCGGAAGAAUCAUUACUGAGUGAGGGCCCCUCGGGGUCCAACCUCCCACCCGUGUUUAACGAACCUUGUUGCUUCGGCGGGCCCGCCUCACGGCCGCCGGGGGGGCAUCUGCCCCCGGGCCCGCGCCCGCCGAAGCCACCUGUGAACGCUGUCUGAAGUAUGCAGUCUGAGACAAUUAUUAAAUUAAUUAAAACUUUCAACAACGGAUCUCUUGGUUCCG
RNAcentral lists this unclassified non-coding RNA (237 nucleotides) under plant metagenome. RNAcentral's name for it is "partial contains small subunit ribosomal RNA, internal transcribed spacer 1, and 5.8S ribosomal RNA". The record is from RNAcentral.